Molecule: RNA transcript, 3279 nt
Organism: Scylla paramamosain (green mud crab)
Lineage: Eukaryota; Metazoa; Arthropoda; Malacostraca; Decapoda; Portunidae
Gene name: proton channel OtopLc-like
Exons: 6
Source: RefSeq, a predicted model, not a curated record
AGUGGUUUGGAUUUUAUUGAAGGAAAUGCGUCGCUGUGUAGGAGUUUCUGCUACGGAAUUCCUCUGAUGACCGUCCUUCUUCCGACUAAAAAUGAAUAAUUACGAUACUUUCCCUAGCCAUUCAAUGUGUGCAGUGGCUAAGUGGAGGGAGGAUGUUGUCUUGCCCUCACUACAGUACUCGUUAGCAAGUUACUUCGUGCUUCGUUAUCCCAGCCACCUGUUGCCACGGUGACGGUGGUGGUGGGCAUGACACAGAUGCGGGAGGUGGAGUUUGUGCCCGAUGGAGACAUGCAGCUGGACAAAUUGUGUUGGUCAUUGGUCAGACUGGAGUUUACAUGUGUACCUCCUUCACCAUCAUUGGUGGACACUUCACCAUGAGUGAUGCUUGAGCUGUCAUGGUGCUGCUGCUGUUGUCUGCCAUCAUCCCCCUGACACAGACCACCCUGCAGACCACCUUCAUCCUGGGUGCCACACGUCACUGCUGCUACAACUCAGAGCAACUGGAGCGCAAACCAGGAAGGGAAAUGUGUUGCCACGGUGAUGGUGGUGGUGGGCAUGACACAGAUGCAGGAGGUGGAGUUUGUGCCCGAUGGAGACAUGCAGGUGGACAAAUUGUGUUGGUCAUUGGUCAGACUGGAGUUUACAUGUGUACCUCCUUCACCAUCAUUGGUGGACACUUCACCUUGAGUGAUGCUUGAGCUGUCAUGGUGCUGGCUGCUGUUGUCUGCCAUCAUCCCCCUGACACAGACCACCCUGCAGACCACCUUCAUCCUGGGUGCCACACGUCACUGCUGCUACAACUCAGAGCAACUGGAGCGCAAGCCAGGAAGGGAAAUGGUUACCUUCUUGUUGAUGUGCAAUCUUGCUAUGUGGGCGAUGAACACCUCUGAGACAUCACGAGCAGAUGCCCAUCCAGCACAGCUCAGCUUGUAUGGAAUCUGGACCUGGACCAUCAUAUCAAUGCCACUGCCUUUGAUAUGUGUUUGAUAUGGCUUCUAUUGCUUUCAAGUGACCAUCUGCCUCUGUGAAAUAUGGAAGAUCUUACAAGCUCAAGCAUGAGUAUUAAGCAAGUUAUAGGAAUGCUAGUAUGAGUGUGGUGUGUCUGAAUUAGCUGUCAGAGUAUUGUAAAUAUUAUUACUUAGUCUUCCCAGUUAUGAAAUUAAGAACAGUUGUGAAGUUUGCUUUAAAACCCUUCAUUAACUUUGCCACAAAACACUUUUACAUGUUAUCAAAAGUGUGUAACUGUUAUGAUGUGUGCAUAUAUAUCAUUACUACAGAAGAAUCUGGAAUUUCCCCUCAGAUUACUUUAAUGAAUGAAGCUUGAGUUCACAGAUGUGUGGUUUGUAAAUUUCACCUGUAUUCUCUCCUCUAUGGCAGUCUGUUCUGGCAAAGUUUCAUUUGUCAAAAGCAUUACAGUUUGUAAAUGAUGUGUCUUCAUAUGCCUUCACUAGCAAUUAUGAAUUACAUUGUGGUCAUGGAUUUUGUUCUUUUAAUACAGUUGCCUCAAGAUAUUCUGAGCUUUACAAUGCUGUCUUUAGUACACUGCAAGAAAAUACAGAAAUUUCAUGUGGCAACAUUUAUUUUUAAAACAUUAUUUAUUACUUUUAAAAAUAGCAAUGUGGGGCUUCCUUAAUGCAAAUAGUCUUGCCCCAAAAAACUUGUGAUGUCAGACACUAACUUCUCUUAACACAGCACAACCAAAACCACUCAAAAUUAUACAUUAAUUUUUUUUAUAGAGCAACAUGUGUGGAAAGUGCUACCAGAAAUAUUUGCAUAACAAAUAUUUGGUUCUGGACCUUAGCACUUAUACAGUACUGCACUAACUUACACACAAGGUUAAUUAAUGAUGUAAUACUCAGGUGAAGCUGGAUUUUCAAAAGACUGAUCAAUAUUUUUUCCCAGAUGUCAUUUUUAUGCAGCUGACUGAAGGAGAAAACACUGCAAAGCUCACAGUAUUCUUCUUAAAUCUUACUAAAAUGUAUGCGCAUCACUUUCUGAUUUCACCCCAAUGGCACACAAACCAAAAUUCAUGGGUAUGGAGAUGGCUGGACUACUUCCUGUGGCCACCCCUGUUAUAUCUUAAUUUCCCACUGUCUUUCCUGUGUGCUGGUUAAGCUACUCACUGCUGAAGUCCCUGGAAACUAGGUAGAAUAAUUUAGAAUGACAUGGUUAAGUUAAUGCUGAUAAAAUCUCAUUUGUAAUAUUCAGGAAGAUUGAAUUAUUCUUCCUCUGUUGAAGCAAAUGAUAUAACAUUGACUAGAAGCUUUCACAAUAUUUAUAAGCUUUCUUGUAUCAGAGAUCUUUUGAAAAUCCAACCAUUAAUUUGUAAAUACUUGUAUAGUGUAGCUGGCAUGAGGGUUGCAGUCUUCAUUAUUUACUAGUGGACAAGCAACAAGUGAUGGUGUGGCUCUGAGCCACUGUAGUAGGGAUGUUAUGGUCAAACCUCCAUACAUUACUGUCUCUAUCCAGUAUGAGACCGGUGUUCAAGAAGCACAAGCAUGUGCUGAAUAACAAGAAGCCGGCGUGGCUCAAGAGGAAGAGUGAGUAGGACGAGAAAAAACAGAACAAAUAAAUCCCCUACACGUGUUGUCUCCAUUGACACAAGCCAUGAAAAGCUUGUCCAUCUCUGAGUGCUAAGGAGCAGUGUGUUCAACUGAUGAUGUGGAAACUUGAGACAGCCAAUCAUUUAAUGGACUUUAGUAGGUUUUGUCACCAGUCUUCUGUGUGUCACUCACUACAUUUUGAAAUUUUUACUUGUUCUAUUUAAUUUUGUGUGUAUGUACACAAUGUUUAUGGUCAAUAAACUAUUUAUAAAAACUAUUUAUCUGUGUAAGAUAAAAGCAGUUAUUAUUAUUAUUAUUAUUAUUAUUAUUAUUAUUAUUAUUAUUAUUAUAAUUAUUAUUAUUAUUACAUAUUUUCCUUGUAUUUAAAUAUUAUUAUUAUUAUUAUUAUUAUUAUUAUUAUUAUUAUUAUUAUUAUUAUUAUUAUUAUUAUUAUUAUUAUUACAUUUUCCUUGUAUUUAAAUAUUAUUAUUAUUAUUAUUAUUAUUAUUACAUAUUUUCCUUGUAUUUAAAUAUUAUUAUUAUUAUUAUUAUUAUUAUUAUUAUUACAUAUUUUCCUUGUAUUUAAAUAUUAUUAUUAUUAUUAUUAUUAUUAUUAUUAUUAUUAUUAUUAUUACAUAUUUUCCUUGUAUUUAAAUAUUAUUAUUAUUAUUAUUAUUAUUGUUAUUAUUAUUAUUAUCAUGCAUUUUCUUGUAUAUAAAUAAAAUACUAUAACUGA